Molecule: unclassified non-coding RNA, 175 nt
Filed under: uncultured Geoglossaceae
Lineage: Eukaryota; Fungi; Ascomycota; Geoglossomycetes; Geoglossales; Geoglossaceae
Description: sequence contains ITS2
Source: RNAcentral
UAAAAAUCUCAAGCUCAGCUUGGUGUUGGGUGUUUGCCCCUCCCCGUUACGAGGGGGUUCAGGGCAUGCCUGAAAAUCAAUGGCGGUGCCACGAUGGCCUCAAGCGUAGUAGACUCUCUCUCGCUUUGGAUGGUUCAUUGUGCGGUUCACCGGUCUAACCUAAAAUCUUAGAAAG